RNAcentral lists this long non-coding RNA (8079 nucleotides) under Lactuca sativa (garden lettuce). RNAcentral's name for it is "long non-coding RNA (LSAT_LNC004008)". Lineage: Eukaryota; Viridiplantae; Streptophyta; Magnoliopsida; Asterales; Asteraceae. The record is from RNAcentral.
UCAGACUCGUUGAAAUAUUGUCACAAGAGUUAAAUCCCUAAGCUUAAUUUCUCCUUUUAUCAGUACCACAAAGCCUCCAUUUUUUCACCACUUGUCGGCAACAAAAAUUUCAACGACGCAAACAUUCAAAGCUCUGAAUUCAAAUCUAUUCAAAAUGUCAUCACUGAAUCUGAUUCCACCUCUGUCACAACGAUUUUUUUGCUGCCGAUUAUGUUGCAAUGUCGCCAUCAGAUGUGUUGCAUGACGCUCGUCGAGGAUUUUAACCGCCACCACUGACGAUGGUCACAACACUACCGGCGACCGGCAAGGCUAGAUCCACGUGCACUGCAGCUUGGGCGGCCAGAUCUACAAGAUUCGGUGAGCGACAGAGUUAGAUCUACGAGAUUUGACGGUAUUGUUGCAACCUCUGUGCCUUACUCAUUUCACAAAAUGUCACUCCUCUUCUUCACAACAGGUUUGUUAUGACGAAACUUUGAUAAGUUUUUUUUUUUUUUUUUUUUUUUUUUUUUUUUUUUUUUUUUUUUAUAAAUCUUCAUAUAAUUAUUUACGUGGUUAUUUAUGGUGUUUGCAUCUUACUCCAUCUUUGCUACUGAUUUCGUGUUAAAGGUUUAAUAAAAAUUAGUGAAUAACCUAAAGUCAAUUGUGAUUUUUUUAUUUAUAAUUUUUAAGAUUUGUAAAUAAUGUUAGAUAUAGAAAUAUUGUGAAUACCUUUCUGAUGCACCAAAUGUUUUCUUAUUUGUUAUAAUACUUGUAUAAAAUAUUAAGUUAUGAAUCGAAAUUUGUUUUCUUAUUUGUUAUAAUGUUUUCCUAAAAUUGGUGUUUAUAACUUAUUUUUAUGGUUUUUAUAUCGUGAAUUAAGUUUAGAAUGUGUGUUAUUAUGUCAGUGUUUUCUCGAAAGAGAACAAAUAUAUUAAUUUAGGUUUUUUAAUUGUGAUUUUUAUGUUUAAAUGUUUCAAUUAUUGUCUUAAGCUGUGAAUUUGAAACAUCCAAAAAUCAUGAUAAAAAAUUCCGUUUUUAAUUAUUAAUAAAACCAUAAGUAUCAAAUCAACACAUAAAGUCAUAAGUCAUUGUAUCUCAAAAACAUCAUAAACAUCUAUCAACAUAUCAGAGUAGAAACAUCCCAGGCUAAAAUCAUGGUGUGUGCACUUCUGUCAUCUUGAGUUCUUCCCUUUGCUACCGGAAGUACCUGAAACCAAAACUAAAAACUGUAAGCACGAAGCUUACUGAUUCUUCCCAUACUACUAAAUACCAUACACAUAAUCACAUAAUCACAUAAUAAAAUAUCAUGGACCUUGCCCGCUACAUCGGGCCCCGCCCGACAUCGGACCGAAUUCCAGUAUACAUAUAAACAUAUCAACAAAUAAAUAUAAAUAUAGUUACAUAACAUAAACAUAUAAACAUUCUUCGGGCCCUACCCCACAUCAGACAGAAAUCUGGAAGCAUACAAUCAUUCAUCGGGCUUUUCCUGGCAUCGAACCGAAGUCCGAAAACAUAUAAAACAAGCACACGCAAGAAUCAUGAAGAUAUCAAGCAUACAAACAAAUCCUCGUGCUUGCCCCGACAUCAGACUGAAGUCCGGAAACAUAUAAACCUACAUCGGAUACUGCCCGACAUUGGACCCUAGUCCGGAAUAUACUAACAUACAUAAAUGGGCCGACAUUGGUGCCUUAGACUUGUUCUUAUAGGAGAAAACUCACCUCACACUACUGAAUUCCCGCAAAUAAAUCUCUGGCUGCCGGCUGACAGAUCCUCGAACUGUCAACAUCAAAAGAAAACCUAAUUAACCAUUUGGGUUUCACUGCAUAACCAUAAACCCACACUUGAGGGUAAAAGGACCAUUUUACCCCUAACCUAGCUUGAUCCAAGAUUAAGGCCCAAACUCAUUUUCUGAAGGCCUAAAAGUCAAAUAAUGAUCUAAGGCCCACAUAUGGCCCAAUUUUCGAAAUUAGGCCCACACCCCUCACAUGGGCAUUACCCUAAAGCCCUUCCAAAUAUUCUAGUCCAUAUACUUGUUCUUGGAUGGUCCAUCAAUAGCCCAAUCAACAAAGCCCAAAAGAAAGGCCCACCUCAAGGCCUAAACAAAAUUAGGGUUUUCACAUAAAAUGACAAUUAGGGUUAAGUGUUCUUACUUAACCCAUUAAGGACUUAAUGCAUUAAGUCCAUCACUCCACUAGACCAAUCAUACCAUGUGGCGGGCAUAAGCCAUAGAUUCAAUCCAAUGGUCCAAAAUGCGGGUCUCGGCAAGUCCAAACUAAAAUAUCCAAGAUUAGGGUUUUCUAAACCCUAAUUAGGGUUUCCAACCCAAUCACAAGCUAACUAAGCCCAUGAUUAAGCUAUUGGGCCGAUUAGGGUUUCAUUAUGUCGAUCACCACAUACUACCACCUCGGGCGGUGGUGGUCCAUGGCUGUUCACGGCGGCAGCCACCACCUCAUGGUGGUGGUGGUGGUGAUCUUCUUCACUUUUGACUAUGAAAAACUGAUAUAACAUUCAAAAUUACACACACAUAAUAUGGACACACACAACCACCUCCCACGGUGGUUAGUGACGGCAAUUGCUUGCAGAAAAUGACAGACACCAUGGUUGGCUGCUAUGGUGGUACGCCUCACCUCCGGCUGUCAUUCUUUAUGAUUCUAGCAGCAACACAAGUAAGAAACGAUGUGAAACAACAUCCCUCGGCCACCUACUUGGUGGCUGACAACGUCGAAGUUAGCGAAAACGACGGUUGAGGCCGGCAACGACAGCAAGGGCAUUCCCUACGUCACGCACACCGGAAAGAACGAAGGAGAAGAAUAAAUGGGUUAUAGCUAGCUUACCGAGUGCCUUCGGUCGUUCAUAACUCAAGUAGUGGCAUUCACAGCCUCUUUCGUUUGUCUCGGUUGCUCUUCCGGUUUCUCUUACGUCUUCGGAAGUAGCGUUGAGGUGGCGCUUAUCGGCGAGGCAGUAGGCGACGACCUUGUCUAAUUAGGAAAACAACAAGAAGAGAGGUGGCGGAUGAGGAGGCUCACAUGGUGGCAGUUGAUGAAGAUUAGGUUUAGGGUUCGCAUCUUCCAAACGAGAGGGAAAAGAGAUACGGGGUUAAAACCGUGUCUCAUUUCAAACUUUUGUCCAUAUUUCCAAAAUUAGCCCUUCCUCACAAAAUCUUUUUCAGUUUAAAUCCAAAAUUACCCUUUAGCCCCUGCCACUAUAAAUCCUUUCAUAUUAAGUCCAAAAAUUACCAAUUAGCCACCAACUUUAAUAAUCUAUUACAAUUUAAGUUUCAUAGUUACCAUUUAACCCUCAAUAAUAAAAAAUGUAGCUUUUAACACCCCAAUGUGUAAACCCCGUUAACUAGUACGACUUAGGGCUAAAAUUCAAUACUUAAAAAUACGUCUCGGGGGCUAGGGUUAAUUAUUUAUUUAUUUAUUUAUUUAUUUAAAAAAAAAGGACAUUUAUAGAAUUUUAUGUAUUAAGCUGUGAUUUUUGUGUUUUAAACUAUAAAUUAAUUGCAUUAAACUAUGAAAUUUCUGUUUAAAUUAUAAAUUGACUAUAUUAAGCUGUGAAUUUUUUGUAUUAAACUGUGAAUGCGUUAAGUUGUGAAUUUUGUUUAUUAUAAUGAGAAUUAAUCAUAUUAAGAAAAUUAAAUUGAUAAUAUGGUUAUGAAUUUAUACCAUUUGUGUACUAAAAUGUGAUUUUUUUUUUGUAUAAAUGUGAUUUUUAUGUUUCAAAAUAUGAAUUACCUGUAUUAAGUUGUGCAUUUUUUAUUUAAAAUGUGAAUUGACUAUAUAUUAAGCUAUUAAUUUUGUGUAUUAAACUAUGUUUUUAGUGUAUUAAACUAUGAAUUGACUGCAUUAAGCUAUGAAUUUUCUGUUUGAACUGUGAAUUGACGAUAUUAAGUUAUAACUUUUUAAUGAAUUUUGUGUUAACAUAGAAUGGUUUAACUAUGAAUGUUUGUUUUAAUUUUCUUGUUGAUAUAUUUAUUUUUUGUGUUGUAUAAAUAUGUAAGAGUGAAUUAGUUUUUAUAAUUAUUUUGCAUUGAACUCUAAAUAAGUGAAUUUAUUGGUAUAUUAAAUUGUGAAUAUAGUAUUUGAGUAAUCAAUUAAUGAUUUUAUAUACAUGUCUUAUUAGAAUGAUGAUUGCGACCAUAACAAAUGUGGUUGGUGGUGGCGUAUGGUAGUUGGUGGUGGUAGAGUUUGAAUUUAACUUCUUUAAAUAUGUGAAUUAGUAUAUAAUAGAUUGUAUUAUGUUAUGUUGUGAAUUUUAUAUAUUAAACUAUAAAUUGAUUGUAUUAAAUUGUAUAAUUUAUAUAAAUUUUGUGUUAAAAUAUGAAUAAAUGUAUGCUUAAAAAUAUUAAAUUUUGUAUUAUUGAAUUAAUAUGUUUAUUAAACUGUGAUGAAUGUACUUUAAAUUUAGAAUAUAUCUUAUACACAAUAUAUUUUUUAAACAAACUUACAAUUUAGAAAAAGGAAUAUUGAAUUUGUAAAGACACAUUCUAUUUUUUUUUUUAUUAAAAAUUUCUCUAUUUUAAGUAUUACCAAAGAAAUGUGAACUAUAACGUUUGUUCUAUUAAAUUAUGAACACGAACUCAAAAUUAUCAUUGAAUUUGGUGUUAGUUCGGCAACGGUUCGACGGUGGUUUGGAGGCGGUCCGACUGCAAUCCAACAACAAGUGGCAAUUAAUUGUAAAGUAGGGAAUACAAAAUUUUACUUAAAAUAUUAAUGUUUGAUUUUUCCAAAUUAUUUUAAUGAAAACAUUUUAAAAAAUGAUUCUUAAAGUUCUUAACCUUUUUGGGUUCUCAUUUGAAAUUAAACACGCGUUGGUUUUAAUUAAAAGAUGGGCCUAGUCCAUCUGCUUUACUUAUUCACGCAAAAAACCAAUGACACCUAACUCCGAUCUUGCCUUCUGCCCAACACCGCCUCCUCCCACAAAUUGCAUCGACACUAUCAAUCACUACCAAAGAUAAUCACUAUUGGGAAGGUAUUUUCUACAGGUGGUUGUAUCAUGGAUUACUGGAACCAUGUUGCUUCAUUUCAGCCUUGCAAGUGUCUUAUGUGUUACAGUUCAUCAUGAGACGUAAUUAGAGAGCUAACAAUCUGAAUUUGAUGCUUGCUCAAUCUAGUUUGAAAUUCACCUGGAUAUUCAUUAAGAUGCCAUAAUUUCAUAUAUAAUUCCAUUUCAUCUCAAUGUAUAAAAUGAUGACAAAAAAUCAAUUGUUUGGGCAUCUAUAACGUUUUAAAAGUUUCACAAAAUUUUCUUUAGUCUUCAAUUAUUAGUGGGACAAAAUGAGAAUUGGUAGUGAUGAAGUUGGUGCAAUGGCAGAAUUAAAUGAUAUAGUAACAUGAAUACUCAUUUUUGAAUGUUGAUUUGCAUUGCCUAUCAUGUGUUCGACGAAAGUCCUCUAAGAAUAUAUACAUCUUUCAAGGUAGUUAGGUGUUAUUAUGUCUAUGUAUAAUUUAAUCCCAAAUGUCUGUUUUUGUAUUUCAUCUUUGUACCCAUUUUCAUGAACCACUAAACUAUCCUUUAUAUUCACAAAUGUUUUUUGUGUUCACAAUGCUAAUAAAUGGAUGGAGUGGAAGUAUCUACAUAUGGUUUUGUCUUUAAGUUGUAUUUUGAAUUAGAAGUUGAGCAUUUAUUAACGUCAUUGUAGAAUUUUAUUACAAACUUGCUUAUUUAUUUGCUUGCUUGCUUUAUUUGAAAAAGUCCAUUAUGUUUUCCUAUUGUUGAUGUAUUAUGUGUUGGAUUAGGUGUCUAAGCCCAUAACGAUUUUUGGUAUGUACUUGAUUUUGAUUAUGAGCAUGGUCCUUUUGGGUUGCCUUCACUCAUGCAACUUGAUAGGAUGAAAAGAGGAGAGAGAGUAGAAUUUAUUAUAUGAAUAAUAAAUUCAUCCUCAAAAUGCUUUUAUUAAUAUAUUACAAGAUUAAUAUAUUAUUUGGAAAUCAUAUUAUUUGAUUAAUAUUGAUCAGAAAUGAAUUUGGAAUUAGUUUGGUGGUCAAAAGAUACUGAUUAAAUAAAUAGGACUGAUAUUGUAAUUAUCUAAUAGUUGCUGGUUGGGCUAUGGACUCCCUAUAGAAGACGUUAGACGAAAUCUAUGGGAAGCCCAUAAGGAUUUCGUCCAAGGGGCCUUCUAAAAGGGUUCCAUGGAUUGCUUGAGGCCUAAGCAGAGAAUUAGGGUUUCCACUUGAAACCCUAGCAGCCAAAAAACUUUAAAAAGACCCCUUAGUCUAAGGAAUUCGGCCCUAUGCUUCUUGGAGUUGCCCUAGCCGAUUUCUUCCCCUCUCCUAAGUCAUCUCCUUGCAUUGGGUGUUUGUGACUCAAUUAGAGGUGCAACACUUGGGGCACAAAGGUUUCAAGAGUCAAGAUCAAGAAGGAUUGUGAUUGUUAUUGCUACAUAAUAAUCAAGGUAAGAUCUAAACCCUAAUCAUAUAUGAUUUAUGAUUACUGUAUGCUAGUUCAUAGGUUAUUGCUUUGGUAUUCAAUGUUGUUAUGUUCAUAGUAGAAAACCUAGAUCAAAGCAAUUAGUGUUCAUGAACACCAUAGGAAUGAUGUUAUCUCCAACUCCCACCUGUGGUAUCAGAGCCUAGGUCAUUUUCUAGUGAAUGGAUGCAAAAGUGAACUGCCAAAGACAAGAAAAUCGAAAAUUUUAGCUUCUGACUGGCUGACUCGUCAAGUCCAUGAAUGGACUCGACGAGUUGCAUGAACUCAACGAGUUCCAUAGUGGACUCGAUGAAUCCAAGGGGUCUGGUGCCAGGAUUUUCGAUUUUGGCCAGAUUUUGUUGAGGAUAAUUACCCAAACUCGUUUUUCUUGACAAAAUUUAAUUUUUUAAGUUUGGUAUGGUUAUCCUUAUCAAAUUUAGUGGAUUUGGUUAAAUAUGGAUAAUAUAGGAUUAUUAUGAUUCAAAUAUAUGACCUAGUAAUUUAGAAAAGUUUCAAAUUACACCCGUUAGGUUUUAUAGUUUAAAUUCGAACUUAAAAGUUUUUGUUUUUGAAUUUUAAAUAGUUAAACCCUAAUGUUUUGAGAAGUUUCAAAACAUGUCCUCAAGUUUUGGAAUUUAAAAUUUAAUUAAAAAGUACUAAUUUUGAAAUAUUAAAUUCUAAACCCCUAGUAUUUUGAAUAGUUCAAAUUACACCCUUAUGGUUUUAUUAAAUUAAUUAAGUGUUUAAUUAAAAGAGAGAAUUAAUAAAUCCAUAGUUAUAUGAUUUAAGUUUAAUCGAAUUAAAAGUCUAAUUUAUUAAUAUAACCACUUAGUAUAUUAAAAGUAUAAAAUACACCAUUAUCUAUAUAAAAUUAAAAGUCUAAUAUACUAUAUAUGAUUAAGUAAAAGGUCAAUCUUACCGUUAGUAGGCCUCAUCCACGAAGCUGGUCUCUAAGGUGUGUUUAGUAAAAUUACUUAUAAAAUGGCGAUUGAAUGGGUAUCUACUCUUACCUACCACACUCUUGACUAGUGGAGGGUCGUUAGCCGAACAGGUAGGAUAGGGCACAACCUUCCAUUAUAAGUAUAACGAAAUACAAAGUAACUAAACACUUUUAUAAAUUCCCAAAUCAUAGUUACUUUAGGAAAAAUAUGGAGUUGGUGCUAAUCCAUGAAAUUGCACAUUACACCUUGUUGGUCGUUAGUGGAGCGUGUGUGGUUAAUAGACACACUAAUAUGGGACCAAUGAAGGAUGGCAAUGGGUAGCUGGUAGUUUAUCAUAGAUCAAUGGAGCGUGUGUGGUUAACCCGCACAUUGAUUAGGUGAUGAACAUCUUCGAGAGUACUAAGCUAAUUUGCAUGGUUAUCCACACCUUAUUUGUGAUCCCCGGCAUCCAAGUCAGAAACAUGAAGGGCAUAAUCGAGAUUAAACAUGCCAUUGAAAAGUUCAAUGAAUCUCUUUCAAUUCAUUUAAAACUUAAUUUUCGUUUUUAAUGGUGGAAAUUAGUAAAUCGUCAUUUACCUACCUUCAAAUAUUCUGCAGCUGGAUUACGGCAUCCCUCUUUCGAGUUAUAGAAUAUUGUGUUGGGUCCUAGCCUUGAUAUUUCAUUUGAGUGAUAUAUUAAGUACUCAAUCAACUAACUUGAAUUUCUCCCGUUUUGUAGAUGUCGAAAUCUAAACACUAUGGUCUUCCC